UGUUGGCUUAGAAGCAGCCAUCAUUUAAAGAGUGCGUAAUAGCUCACUAGUCGAGUGACACUGCGCCGAAAAUGUACCGGGGCUAAACAUAUUACCGAAGCUGUGGAUUGUCCUUUGGACAAUGGUAGGAGAGCGUUCUAAGGGCGUUGAAGCAUGAUCGUAAGGACAUGUGGAGCGCUUAGAAGUGAGAAUGCCGGUGUGAGUAGCGAAAGACGGGUGAGAAUCCCGUCCACCGAUUGACUAAGGUUUCCAGAG
This 255-nucleotide ribosomal RNA is filed under the name Staphylococcus aureus. Its description in RNAcentral is "partial 23S ribosomal RNA". It matches the Rfam family "Bacterial large subunit ribosomal RNA", at positions 1099 to 1359 of the family's 2925-position model. The record is from RNAcentral. Lineage: Bacteria; Bacillati; Bacillota; Bacilli; Caryophanales; Staphylococcaceae.